CGGCUGUGUGUGACUGAAGGACUGCUUCAUGCUUCUGGUCUCUGGAUUAGAUGAGAAUGCUGGUCAUUGGAAUUGUGAUGAUGUUCACAGGAGCUUCCAUGGGUUUGCUGUCCAUGAACCCUGUUUGUAGAUUUACUCAGAGUGAUCCAUGUUAUGGAGCUGUGGGACGACCGCUGUACCUGCAGCUGCCAUCUGAGUAUGAAUUAGUCUUAAAAAUGAGCAACAGUGGAACUUCUUUUGUUCUCAUUUUCAAAUUUAAAAACCAAAUAACCUCAAAGCAUCAUUCAGAUUAUCCAAGAUGGGAGUUUGCUACUGAUAACAGAACCAUGAUAAUAAGCAAUGCAAAGAAAAGAGACUCAGGAAAAUACACACUAGAAACAUUUGAUUCAUUUGGGGGAUCAAAAGGCGCUUAUUUUCUUCAGCUGAUUAUUGAAGGUUUGUCCGUGAACCCUGUUUGUAGAUUUACUCAGAGUGAUCCAUGUUAUGGAGCUGUGGGACGACCGCUGUACCUGCAGCUGGAAUAUGAGGAUGAAUUCAUCUUAAAAAUGAGCAACAGCGGAACUUUUUCCAUUCUCAUUUUGAAAUAUAAAAACCAAAGAGCCACAAAGCAUCAUUCAGAUUAUCCAAGAUGGGAGUUUGUUACUGAUAACAGAACCAUGGUAAUAAGCAAUGCUGAGAAAAGAGACUCAGGAAAAUACAAAUUGGAAUCAUUUGAUUUAUUCGGGGGAUCAAAAGGCAUGUAUUUCCUCCAGCUGAUUAUUGAAGAUACUAUUGUACAGACCAACUAUGAAGCUGAGAAGCCCAAAGACACUUUUGGGGUGCUUGUGGUUGUGCAAGUUUUGGAGAUUAUUAUUCUGCUGACAUUGUUAGGAGGCUUUCACAUCUACACCAAAAUCCAAAGAAAACGGAUCAGCAGAACAGUAGAAACUACGGAACAGGAGGGGCAGGAGAGUCUGUACACCAAUACGGAUCAAGAAGACAGAGAACAUCAUCAUCGUCAGAGGAGAUAAACCUUCAGAAUCUGCACCUCACACAACCUGAACCACAAACUAAGAAGCAUAAAGACAUUUGAAGAACAUAGAUUUAGAUUCUCCAAUCUAACUUAAUGACUGGUAGAAAGUAUGGCCAUGAGUCCAUGAUUACUCAUUGCGUGCUAUUUUAGUGUAAACGUUAUGUAGACCAGUAGCUCUCUGUCUCAUGGUGUUGCUUUGCUUGUCUUUAUCCCUCUCUCAAGACAACCUUGCAGUAGUCCAAAGGACUCUGAGUACUUGCUGUGCAUUUCAGGCUGCAAACCCUCUCAGUAUUUACCCAUUAUUGGUCAUCUUUGAACAACAAGAAUAUUAGAGAUUUAUACAGGGAUGAUAAGAUUUGAUUUGAUUGCAUUUAGCCAUGUCAGCAUUAGUAAGGUCAGGUACUGAUGUUGGAUGAUUAGUUCUGGAUCAGAAACACCACUACAACUCAUCCAGAAGGUACUGGAAAGCUCUAUCACUCUAGAGAAAGCAGUUGCACUGCCCCAAAGCAAAGUGCUGGGAGAUUUUUAGGUAUUUCACCUUUUAUGGUGCAUAAUAUUAUCAAAAAAUACAGGGAAUCUGAAAACAUCUCUGUGCAUAAAAAGCAAGGCCAAAAACCACAGCUGCCUGUGACCUUCAGUCCCUCAGAUGGCACUAUGUUAAAAACUGGCGUAAUACUGUGAUAGAUAUAACCACAUGGGCUCAGGGAAUACUUUGAUGAAGUACAGUGUCAAUAAACACUGUUCGUGGCUACAUCCACAAAUGCAAGUUAAGACUGUACUAAGCACAAUGGAAGUCCAUUUUUUCUUGAGGAAGCAUUCUCCUCUUGAAACAAGAGUUUAAUAUUGUAAUUUUUAGCAUUAGUGUCACCCAGCAGAGUCCAGCUCAAAGCACCCCAGACCAAUUCUAUUUUUUAUCUUUCUGUCACUGCAACACCAGUGAUUCGAAUUUGUGUUCUUACAUAUGAGUCUUUAUCCUCUAAUCAGUGGUUAGCUAGAACUGAGCGCAGGUCACUCAUGUUAUCUUAGCCUAGCAGGCUACAGCUGAAAGCACUACAGAACAGGUUCGAUUUCAGCUUUCUGUCACUCCACCAUGAUUCGGUUGACUGUGCGCUCACUGUUGUACGCUUUUAUCGUCUGUAAUUCUGACAGCAGAGCCCCAGUUAGUUGAAUCGAACCUGAACAGGGGUGUUUGAAGCUCUUCAGCUAUGCUAAGCUAACUAGGAGAGAGAAGCCGGCUAGCAUUAGCUUAGCUAGAAGGCACCAGCUCCAGACACCAGAGAACAGGUCUAAUCUUUCCCUCAAAACAGGCUUUCUGUCUCUCAAACAUCAGCCGCUCGAGCCAUUUUCAUCUAAAUUAGUGCCAGUUCAUUGCCUCGACUCCUUAACUAUGGAGAUAUGCUGUUAUGUUACGUUUAUCUAAACUAUUUACCAAAAACUUGACUAAAUAAAUUGGUUUUCACCUAGAGUUAAAGACUGAGGCUGUGUCUGAGCACUGACUGGAAGUUUGUUCCAAAGCUGGGGGGCUUUGUAUGAGAAGGCUCUCCCCCUGAUGUAACUUUAUUAAUUUUGGAUACUAAUAGUAAGCCAACACCUUGUAUUCUGAGUAGGCGAGAUGGUUCAUAGUAGGAGAGAAGUUCACUCAGGUACUGAGGGGCGAGUCCAUUUAAAGCUUUAUAUGCCAGUAAAAUUGGAAUUAUAUUAUAUGGAAUUGGAAUAUAUGCCAGUAAAAGUGGAAUUUAACUGGCAACCAUUGUAGAGUCGAUAAAACUGGGCUGAUAUGGUCAAAAUUUCUGGUUCUUGUGAGACUCUGGCUGCAGUGUUCUGGACUAGCUGAAGUUUGUUAAGGCUUUUGCUGGAACAUCUAGACAGCAGGGCAUUACAGUAGUCUUGAGGGAAUAAAUGCGUGAACUAGCUUUUCUGCGUCCUGUAGAGAUAAUGCAUUUCUUAAUUUAGCAAUAUUUGGAAAGCUAUUCUAUUAAUAUUAGUUACAUGUAAAUUGAAUGACAGAUUAGGGUCGAUUGUGACACCAAGUUUUUAAUACAUGUGUAACAGUGUACAAUAGUUGUAUUAAUGUUAUGUUAUGAAAUUCCUGCUAAAUGGGUUUUGGCACCACCUGCUGGUUGGUCAGCGUAUUACAGUUUCUGUAUAUAUAGGUGAUUCGGUGCAGUCUCGGCAGUAGAAUGGUUGCAUGCUGCCGUGUU
Long non-coding RNA from Pygocentrus nattereri (red-bellied piranha), 3213 nucleotides. The record is from Ensembl. NCBI's taxonomy places the organism in Eukaryota, Metazoa, Chordata, Actinopteri, Characiformes, Serrasalmidae.